Molecule: ribosomal RNA, 377 nt
Filed under: uncultured bacterium
Lineage: Bacteria
Description: bacterial SSU rRNA
Rfam family: Bacterial small subunit ribosomal RNA
Source: RNAcentral
AUUGAACGCUGGCGGUAUGCCUUACACAUGCAAGUCGAACGGUAGAGGAGCAAUCCUCGAGAGUGGCGAACGGGUGAGUAAUACAUCGGAACGUGCCCAGUCGUGGGGAUAACGUAGCGAAAGCUACGCUAAUACCGCAUACGACCCGAGGGUGAAAGCGGGGGACUCGCAAGAGCCUCGCGCGAUUGGAGCGGCCGAUGGCAGAUUAGGUAGUUGGUGGGGUAAAGGCCCACCAAGCCUGCGAUCUGUAGCUGGUCUGAGAGGACGACCAGCCACACUGGGACUGAGACACGGCCCAGACUCCUACGGGAGGCAGCAGUGGGGAAUUUUGGACAAUGGGCGAAAGCCUGAUCCAGCCAUACCGCGUGCGGGAAGAA